UGUGGCAAUUUAAUUACCAAAAUAAUAACUAUUUCUAUCACUCUUAAUGUUUAGGUAACCUGCCCAAGUGAAUUGUAUUAACUAAUUGAUGUUUUUUUGGGGGGUCUCUGUUGCUGUUCCUGGAUGAUUCUCUUCUGUUUCAUGGUCUGCAGUGCAUGGACAGUGUUUACAAGGUAGCCCUAUACUCCUAUAUUCAUCACAACAUAGUAGGUAGCGUGACUCCGCGCGACGGCUGGAGGAGGCGAGGUCGGGCCUGCCCUCCAUAGACGGCAGACUCCGCGUGACGGCUGGAGGAGGCGAGGUCGGGCCUGCCCUCCAUCGACACUCCACGCCGCCGCAGCCCGCAGCCCCAUCAGCGCCGUCGCUCCAUCGCCGUCCCGACCUCGAAGGCGAACCGGUUUCGAGUCCCUCGCGCUGCCACUGAUCCCAGGGCUCCUCAACCCUGCAAGCCGUCGAUCCUGCCUGCGAACAAGUAUCGAGGGGGGUCUUGGCCGGAUCAGUUGCUCAUGGCCGGUAGGAGUGAGGAGUACACAGGCUUCCACACUACGAGGAAACUUCAAUGCUCGAGUUGUCGAGCUAGGUUGGGGAUAUUUGAUUCUUUAAUCUAUAUAGGGUUUGGUAGCGUGCACUCAGCCCUUAGGACUUAACAUGACAGUAAGUGAGAAAAAGGGAAAACAGUGAGUUUUUGCAUCAGGCUGGCUCAACUAAAUGAUUUUUAUGUCCCUUUGGUAAUGAAAAGAGAUUUUUCUGUUGUAUACCAUCUCAUAUGCUCUUAAGAUACAUUUUGAUUUACAUAACAAUUAUGUUUCUAUGUGAAAGAAACUAAAUAUAUAUUUGGUCAUUUUGGUAA
Molecule: long non-coding RNA, 850 nt
Organism: Oryza sativa Japonica Group (Japanese rice)
Lineage: Eukaryota; Viridiplantae; Streptophyta; Magnoliopsida; Poales; Poaceae
Source: RefSeq, a predicted model, not a curated record